CGGAGAGUAGCUCAGCCUGGUAGAGCACUGCUUUCGGGAGGCAGGGGCCGGAGGUUCGAAUCCUCUCUCUCCGA
Transfer RNA from Azospirillum sp. B510, 74 nucleotides. It matches the Rfam family "tRNA". From Rfam's summary of the family: Transfer RNA (tRNA) molecules are approximately 80 nucleotides in length. The record is from Rfam. Lineage: Bacteria; Pseudomonadati; Pseudomonadota; Alphaproteobacteria; Rhodospirillales; Azospirillaceae.